The sequence is a regulatory RNA element, 50 nucleotides long. It matches the Rfam family "SAM/SAH riboswitch aptamer". The record is from Rfam.
CUGCCGCCACAACGGCUUCCUGGCGUGGCGGUCUAAAACUCAAUGGAGCA